Molecule: long non-coding RNA, 833 nt
Organism: Papaver somniferum (opium poppy)
Lineage: Eukaryota; Viridiplantae; Streptophyta; Magnoliopsida; Ranunculales; Papaveraceae
Exons: 4
Source: RefSeq, a predicted model, not a curated record
UUCCCUAACACAGCAUUUCAACUUAUGUGUAAACAGAUUGUUACACCUGAUUUACUUUUCAAAUUAGGGGUUUCUUUCACCUGAUUUCGUUACUAAAUUAGGAUUUAAUCGUGCUUUGAAGCAAACCCCAUUUCCCGAUUGGAAUUGGGGACUUAAACCCCCAAUUUCAAUCUCCAUCUAAUUCUUACCUCUUUUUCCUCCUCCAAUUAGACUUGCAUAGUUUUUACCUUCAUCAUUCUUGAUAGAAUUCCUGAAUAAGAACAUAAGCGAGGUACAGAUUAGCUUGAAAUGAGUUUGCACCACUUGGCAAUGAGCAUUGACCGAGUGUUGAUUUUGACUGUUGACUACUACACAUAAUAACAAAAUUACAGAACGAACGGAACGGCAGGCACAUCGCGCAUGCAUGUUAUUCUAGUUUACAUAGAUGAAACCUCCGAUUCUUUUUGGAAUCGUGUGCGUAUUGUUUUUGUGGCGUUAGACGGAAAUCGUAAUGGAAGAUCGAUGAAACUCAUUUAGAAAAGAUUCGAGCAGCUCUUUCCACAAUUGGAAGCCUUCAAAGACGAAAUGGACGUCGUAAAGAUAAACAAUCUCAAUAUGGCACGUGCACAAAGAUAGGAGAUGGCCGAAGUUGAUUAUGAGGAUGUCCAUGGCAAGAAGUUUGAACUUCAUGAUUGUUAUCAUGUCUUGGAAGAAAGUAUCCUACGCUGACUUCUUCCACUAUUAUUAAGACCCAUGUUUGCUAUGUAAUGAUUUUUUUUUUUAAAGUUUAUGCUAUGAAAUAUGUAUUCCUUUUCGUUUCAGUGAAAAAUGUAUGGUCUUUCCCUUCUUGGUUA